Molecule: ribosomal RNA, 495 nt
Filed under: uncultured bacterium
Lineage: Bacteria
Description: partial 16S ribosomal RNA
Rfam family: Bacterial small subunit ribosomal RNA
Source: RNAcentral
GACGAACGCUGGCGGCGUGCCUAAUACAUGCAAGUAGAACGCUGAAGGAGGAGCUUGCUUCUCCGGAUGAGUUGCGAACGGGUGAGUAACGCGUAGGUAACCUGCCUGGUAGCGGGGGAUAACUAUUGGAAACGAUAGCUAAUACCGCAUAAGAGUAGAUGUCGCAUGACAUUUGCUUAAAAGGUGCAGCUGCACCACUACCAGAUGGACCUGCGUUGUAUUAGCUAGUUGGUGAGGUAACGGCUCACCAAGGCAACGAUACAUAGCCGACCUGAGAGGGUGAUCGGCCACACUGGGACUGAGACACGGCCCAGACUCCUACGGGAGGCAGCAGGAGGGAAUCUUCGGCAAUGGACGGAAGGCUGACCGAGCAACGCCGCGGGAGUGAAGAAGGUUUUCGGAUCGUAAAGCUCUGUUGUAAGAGAAGAACGAGUGUGAGAGUGGAAAGUUCACACUGUGACGGUAUCUUACCAGAAAGGGACGGCUAACUACGUG